GUGGAAUGUGAUGAGAAACCACUAAGGAAAUAUUUAGAACCUUCCUUAAGACAUUUUCUCACCAUCUUUAUUCGGCUAAGACUAAGGAAUUAGAGGAAAAGAAGGGAGAACCUAGCCAAACUAAGUCCAUCUCUUCAUUCUUAUGAAUUUCAGUGUUAUUUUGAUUAAAAGGAUGAUGCUAAGUUUAAGUAGCUUUAUUACCCAUGUCAAGAGAGGUUAAUUUGGAGACUUGAUUGUCGUCAAGGUGGGGUCUUGGAAGGAGAAAGCUAAGGAAACUCUUGGAGAAGGAGCAAGUAAAGGAAAGACUAAAGUGGUAGAUUGAUAGCUUGAAAGGUGGGAAUUGGUAUUUUGGAAGCUUAAUCAAGAAAUCGACCUCGUUUGAAAUAAAAACAGUUGCCAGAAAUCCAUGGCACUAGUGAAAGUGCAAGUGUCAGAAGACUGAUAAAGUGAGGAAGAGAUGACAAUCACUGCAGGUUGCAGAAGCUGAAAGUCGAGUGCAUCUUUGGGAACUGGCAAAGACUUGCUGUUGUUUGAAGCCCCCCACUGAUUUUAAAAUGUACCAACCAAAAGUGAAAACAAAGGAUGAAUGGUUUUAAAAUCUGUCAAUGCUUGAGAUUAGCUCUAUUGUUUUUUUCUU
Gossypium arboreum is the source of this 637-nucleotide long non-coding RNA. RefSeq lists it as uncharacterized. Lineage: Eukaryota; Viridiplantae; Streptophyta; Magnoliopsida; Malvales; Malvaceae. The record is from RefSeq and is a predicted model, not a curated record. The transcript is spliced from 3 exons.